GACGAACGCUGGCGGCGUGCUUAACACAUGCAAGUCGAGCGGGGAUACAAGGGAGCUUGCUCCUGAGUAUUCUAGCGGCGGACGGGUGAGUAACGCGUGAGCAACCUUUCUCUCAGUGGGAAUAACACAGGGAAACUUGUACUAAUACCGCAUGAGACCACAGAGUCGCAUGACUUAGGGGUCAAAGAUUUAUGCUGAGAGGUGGGCUCGCGUCUGAUUAGGUAGUUGGUGAGGUAACGGCCCACCAAGCCGACGAUCAGUAGCCGACCUGAGAGGGUGAUCGGCCACAUUGGGACUGAGACACGGGCCCAAAACUCCUACGGGAGCAGCAGUGAGGAAUAUUGGCAAUGGACGCAAGUCUGAACCAGCCAUGCCGCGUGCAGGAU
RNAcentral lists this ribosomal RNA (386 nucleotides) under uncultured bacterium. Its description in RNAcentral is "bacterial SSU rRNA". It matches the Rfam family "Bacterial small subunit ribosomal RNA", at positions 28 to 409 of the family's 1533-position model. The record is from RNAcentral.